RNAcentral lists this non-coding RNA (103 nucleotides) under Enterococcus saccharolyticus. Its description in RNAcentral is "SAM-I sequence". It matches the Rfam family "SAM riboswitch aptamer (S box leader)". From Rfam's summary of the family: The SAM riboswitch is found upstream of a number of genes which code for proteins involved in methionine or cysteine biosynthesis in Gram-positive bacteria. Lineage: Bacteria; Bacillati; Bacillota; Bacilli; Lactobacillales; Enterococcaceae. RNAcentral also lists the same sequence under 1 other name. The record is from RNAcentral.
UUCUUAUCCAGAGAGGCGGAGGGAACUGGCCCAACGAAACCUCAGCAACAGGUCCUAAAGAUACUGUGCUACUUCCAGUGGGUGGUUCCCAGAUAGAUGAGAG